Molecule: ribosomal RNA, 393 nt
Filed under: uncultured bacterium
Lineage: Bacteria
Description: partial 16S ribosomal RNA
Rfam family: Bacterial small subunit ribosomal RNA
Source: RNAcentral
AUACGGAGGAUGCGAGCGUUAUCCGGAUUUAUUGGGUUUAAAGGGUGCGUAGGCUGUGCGUUAAGUCAGGGGUGAAAUGCCGUCGCUCAACGACGGAGCUGCCCUUGAUACUGGCGUGCUGGAGUACGGAUGCCGUUGGAGGAAUGAGUGGUGUAGCGGUGAAAUGCUUAGAUAUCACUCAGAACACCGAUUGCGAAGGCAUCUGACGAAUCCGUCACUGACGCUGAGGCACGAAAGCGUGGGGAUAGAACAGGAUUAGAUACCCUGGUAUUCCACGCCGUAAACGAUGAUGACUAACCGUCGGCGAUAGACAGCCGGUGGCCAAGCGAAUGCGAUAAGUCAUCCACCUGGGGAGUACGUCGGCAACGAUGAAACUCAAAUGAAUUGACGGGG